This 433-nucleotide ribosomal RNA is filed under the name actinobacterium SCGC AAA278-P23. Its description in RNAcentral is "bacterial SSU rRNA". It matches the Rfam family "Bacterial small subunit ribosomal RNA", at positions 351 to 800 of the family's 1533-position model. The record is from RNAcentral. Lineage: Bacteria; Bacillati; Actinomycetota; Actinomycetes.
GCAGUGGGGAAUCUUGCGCAAUGGGCGAAAGCCUGACGCAGCAACGCCGCGUGCGGGAUGAAGGCCUUCGGGCUGUAAACCGCUUUCAGCAGGAACGAAAAUGACGGUACCUGCAGAAGAAGGAGCGGCCAACUACGUGCCAGCAGCCGCGGUGACACGUAGGCUCCAAGCGUUGUCCGGAUUUAUUGGGCGUAAAGAGCUCGUAGGCGGUUGAGUAAGUCGGGUGUGAAAACUCUGGGCUUAACCCGGAGACGCCAUCCGAUACUACUCUGACUAGAGUUCAGGAGGGGAGUGGGGAAUUCCUAGUGUAGCGGUGAAAUGCGCAGAUAUUAGGAGGAACACCGGUGGCGAAGGCGCCACUCUGGACUGAAACUGACGCUGAGGAGCGAAAGCAUGGGUAGCAAACAGGAUUAGAUACCCGGGUAGUCCGGUC